GAUGUCGCCUACUGAUUCUUCUCGCGAGGAAAAUGUGUACAUGGCCAAGCUGGCCGAGCAGGCUGAACGUUAUGAGGAAAUGGUUGAGUUCAUGGAAAAAGUUGCAAAAACAGUUGAUGUUGAGGAGCUAACCGUGGAGGAAAGGAACCUUCUCUCAGUUGCUUACAAGAAUGUGAUUGGGGCCAGGAGGGCUUCAUGGAGGAUCAUCUCUUCGAUUGAGCAGAAGGAGGAGAGCAGGGGAAAUGAAGACCAUGUCUCAGUAAUUAAGGAGUACAGGAGCAAGAUUGAGAAUGAGCUCAGCAAGAUCUGUGAUGGGAUUCUUAGCCUCCUUGAGUCUCAUCUCAUUCCCUCUGCCUCAUCGGCUGAGUCUAAGGUGUUCUACCUGAAGAUGAAGGGUGAUUACCACAGGUAUCUGGCUGAGUUCAAGACUGGAGCUGAGAGGAAGGAAGCUGCGGAGAGCACUUUGUUGGCCUACAAGUCAGCUCAGGUGGGUUUAAUGUGCCUUGGUCUUAUAUAUGCACUCUCUCGCUUACUUUGCGGCAUUGAUAGCUUAUUUAGUUUAUCUAUCAUUGAUGUUCAUGCAGGAUAUUGCUUUAGCUGAAUUGGCCCCUACUCACCCAAUAAGGCUGGGACUUGCACUCAACUUCUCUGUUUUCUACUAUGAAAUCCUUAACUCACCAGAUCGUGCAUGCAAUCUUG
Molecule: long non-coding RNA, 699 nt
Filed under: Citrus sinensis (sweet orange)
Lineage: Eukaryota; Viridiplantae; Streptophyta; Magnoliopsida; Sapindales; Rutaceae
Description: long non-coding RNA (CSIN_LNC002734)
Source: RNAcentral